RNAcentral lists this ribosomal RNA (143 nucleotides) under uncultured eukaryote. RNAcentral describes it as "partial 18S ribosomal RNA". It matches the Rfam family "Eukaryotic small subunit ribosomal RNA", at positions 1299 to 1458 of the family's 1831-position model. The record is from RNAcentral.
UGGUGGAGCGAUUUGUCUGGUUUAUUCCGUUAACGAACGAGACCACGACCUACUAAAUAGUUCAAGCUAGGGUUCGCUCUAGCUGUUGUGACUUCUUAGAGGGACUAUCGGUGUGUAGCCGAUGGAAGUUCGUGGCAAUAACA